CAGUCGCCGCGGUAAUACGGAGGGGGCUAGCGUUGUUCGGAAUUACUGGGCGUAAAGCGUGCGCAGGCGGUUUCGUAAGACAGAUGUGAAAUCCCCGGGCUUAACCUGGGAACUGCAUUUGUGACUGCGAGGCUAGAGUGUGUCAGAGGGGGGUGGAAUUCCACGUGUAGCAGUGAAAUGCGUAGAUAUGUGGAGGAACACCGAUGGCGAAGGCAGCCCCCUGGGAUAACACUGACGCUCAUGCACGAAAGCGUGGGGAGCAAACAGGAUUAGAUACCCCCGUAGUCCCUGUCUCUUAUAC
RNAcentral lists this ribosomal RNA (301 nucleotides) under uncultured bacterium. RNAcentral describes it as "partial 16S ribosomal RNA". It matches the Rfam family "Bacterial small subunit ribosomal RNA", at positions 509 to 807 of the family's 1533-position model. The record is from RNAcentral.